Molecule: non-coding RNA, 82 nt
Organism: Candidatus Burkholderia pumila
Lineage: Bacteria; Pseudomonadati; Pseudomonadota; Betaproteobacteria; Burkholderiales; Burkholderiaceae
Source: Rfam
GUCGUCGUGAGGCGGGGUUUGAAGGAAGUGUGUACCAAAGCCACGACCUGACGAACAGAAACCAGGGCCUACCCGGGCGGAC